This is a non-coding RNA of Citrus sinensis (sweet orange), 117 nucleotides long. NCBI's taxonomy places the organism in Eukaryota, Viridiplantae, Streptophyta, Magnoliopsida, Sapindales, Rutaceae. The record is from Rfam.
AGCCGUGCGGUGAGCACAGAGCGAACUAUUCUUUCGCCUUUUACUAAAGAAUACCGUGUGCUCGCCGCUUCACGCGGCAUACGCAAAUUUUUGGAGGUGCAUUUCUUUGGAAAUGCU